This 72-nucleotide transfer RNA is filed under the name bacterium. RNAcentral's name for it is "tRNA-Asn". It matches the Rfam family "tRNA". From Rfam's summary of the family: Transfer RNA (tRNA) molecules are approximately 80 nucleotides in length. The record is from RNAcentral.
UCCGGCGUGGCGCAAUGGUAGCGCAACUGACUGUUAAUCAGUGUGUUGUAGGUUCGAGUCCUACCGCCGGAG